GCGUGAAUGGAGAAUAACGCGUGGCUGGAGGAACAAUUGAAAAAUGGAUAAGAUAAUACAACAAAAGGAUGCUGCAGGCCCAAUUAUUGGAACAACACAAAAUAUUAGAUAACAGCAAAGCUAAGGAUGCUCAAAUUUUGAGUCUACAUGCUCAGUUACUGGAAAACAGACAAAUUAGAAUGGGACACUUUCCAAACAGUGAAGGAGGUUUUUCCAAACUCAUCCCUAACAGAACAUGAGGAUGAGUUGGCGUUAGGCGAAC
Long non-coding RNA from Daphnia carinata, 262 nucleotides. RefSeq lists it as uncharacterized. The transcript has 3 exons. The record is from RefSeq and is a predicted model, not a curated record. NCBI's taxonomy places the organism in Eukaryota, Metazoa, Arthropoda, Branchiopoda, Diplostraca, Daphniidae.